GGGGGGGGGGGGGGGGGGGGCGGGUGCAGGCGGGGCGGGCGGACGGACGAGGAGCGUGCGUCUCUGAUGUUAGCGGCGGACGGGGGAGUAACACGUGGAUAACCUACCUAUAAGACUGGGGUAACUUCGGGAAACCGGAGCUACUACCGGAUGAUAUUUUGAACCGCAUGGUUCAACAGUGAAAGACGGUCUUGCUGUCACUUAUAGAUGGAUCCGCGCUGCAUUAGCUAGUUGGUAAGGUAACGGCUUCCCAAGGCAACGAUGCAUAGCCGACCUGAGAGGGUGAUCGGCCACACUGGAACUGAGACACGGUCCAGACUCCUACGGGAGGCAGCAGUAGGGAAUCUUCCGCAAUGGGCGAAAGCCUGACGGAGCAACGCCGCGUGAGUGAUGAAGGUCUUCGGAUCGUAAAACUCUGUUAUUAGGGAAGAACAUAUGUGUAAGUAACUGUGCACAUCUUGACGGUACCUAAUCAGAAAGCCACGGCUAACUACGUG
RNAcentral lists this ribosomal RNA (497 nucleotides) under uncultured bacterium. RNAcentral describes it as "partial 16S ribosomal RNA". It matches the Rfam family "Bacterial small subunit ribosomal RNA", at positions 27 to 507 of the family's 1533-position model. The record is from RNAcentral.